GAUUAACGCUAGCGGCAGGCAUAAUACAUGCAAGUUGAACGGCAGCACAGGUAGCAAUACUGGGUGGCGAGUGGCGCACGGGUGCGUAACACGUAUGCAACCUACCCUAUACAGGCGAAUAACCUUUAGAAAUGAGGGCUAAUACGCCGUAGUAUUACAGAUGGGCAUCUAUUUGUAAUUAAAGAUUUAUCGGUAUAGGAUGGGCAUGCGUCCCAUUAGUUAGUUGGUAAGGUAACGGCUUACCAAGACGAUGAUGGGUAGGGGAUCGGAGAGGACUUACCCCCACACUGGUACUGAGACACGGACCAGACUCCUACGGGAGGCAGCAGUAAGGAAUAUUGGGCAAUGGCCGCGAGGCUGACCCAGCCAUGCCGCGUGCAGGAAGACGGCCUUAUGGGUUGUAAACUGCUUUUAUACGGGAAUAAUAGAGUGUACGCGUACAUUUAUGCAAGUAUCGUAUGAAUAAGCAUCGGCUAACUCCGUG
RNAcentral lists this ribosomal RNA (484 nucleotides) under uncultured bacterium. Its description in RNAcentral is "partial 16S ribosomal RNA". It matches the Rfam family "Bacterial small subunit ribosomal RNA", at positions 28 to 507 of the family's 1533-position model. The record is from RNAcentral.